GUGCAGCAGGCGCGAAUACUCCGCAAUGCGGGCAACCGCGACGGGGCUACCCCGAGUGCCGGGCGAAGAGCCCGGCUUUUGCCUGGUCUAAAACGCCGGGCGAAUAAGCGGGGGGCAAGUCUGGUGUCAGCCGCCGCGGUAAUACCAGCCCCACGAGUGGUCGGGACGGUUAUUGGGCCUAAAGCGCCCGUAGCCGGCCCAGCAAGUUCCUGCCUAAAUCCUCGGGCUCAACCCGGGGAAAGGUGGGAAUACUACUGGGCUAGGAGGCGGGAGAGGCCGGGGGUACUGCCAGGGUAGGGGCGAAAUCCUAUAAUCCUGGCAGGACCACCAGUGGCGAAGGCGCCCGGCUGGAACGCGCUCGACGGUGAGGGGCGAAAGCUGGGGGAGCAAACCGGAUUAGAUACCCGGGUAGUCCCAGCUGUAAACGAUGCGGACUAGGUGUUGGACGGACUUUGAGUCCGUCCAGUGCCGCAGGGAAGCCGUUAAGUCCGCCGCCUGGGGAGUACGGCCGCAAGGCUGAAACUUAAAGGAAUUGGCGGGGGAGCAC
RNAcentral lists this ribosomal RNA (547 nucleotides) under uncultured archaeon. RNAcentral's name for it is "bacterial SSU rRNA". It matches the Rfam family "Archaeal small subunit ribosomal RNA", at positions 330 to 879 of the family's 1478-position model. The record is from RNAcentral.